GAUGAACGCUGGCGGCGUGCCUAAUACAUGCAAGUCGAGCGAACAGACGAGGAGCUUGCGCCUCUGACGGUAGCGGCGGACGGGUGAGUAACACGUGGAUAACCUACCUAUAAGACUGGGAUAAGUUCGGGAAACCGGAUCUAAUACCGGAUAAUAUAUUGAACGGCAUGGUUCAAUAGUUAAAGACGGUUUUGCUGUCACUUAUAGAUUGAUCCGCCCCGCAUUAGCUAGUUGGUAAGGUAACGGCUUACCAAGGCAACGAUGGGUAGCCGAGCUGAGAGGGUGUUGGCCACCUCAGAAGCUGAGCACCGUCCCAGGGUCUUAGGGACGGCACAGGCUGCGACGCUUCGCAACAGGGGGAAAUCUUGCCCAAGCACCGCACGGUGGGUGCAGCAGCGCUGCGGUCGGUAAAACCGUUUUCUUGGGAAGAACCAAUGUGUAAGUAACUAUGCACGUCUUGACGGUACCUAAUCAGAAAGCCCCGGCUAACUACGUG
This 496-nucleotide ribosomal RNA is filed under the name uncultured bacterium. RNAcentral describes it as "partial 16S ribosomal RNA". It matches the Rfam family "Bacterial small subunit ribosomal RNA", at positions 28 to 507 of the family's 1533-position model. The record is from RNAcentral.